This 253-nucleotide ribosomal RNA is filed under the name uncultured bacterium. RNAcentral's name for it is "partial 16S ribosomal RNA". It matches the Rfam family "Bacterial small subunit ribosomal RNA", at positions 524 to 776 of the family's 1533-position model. The record is from RNAcentral.
UACAGAGGGUGCGAGCGUUAAUCGGAAUUACUGGGCGUAAAGCGUGCGUAGGCGGUUACGUAAGUCGGAUGUGAAAUCCCCGGGCUCAACCUGGGAAUUGCAUUCGAGACUGCGCAGCUGGGGUGCGGAAGAGGGAAGCGGAAUUUCCGGUGUAGCGGUGAAAUGCGUAGAUAUCGGAAGGAACAUCAGUGGCGAAAGCGGCUUCCUGGUCCAGCACCGACGUUCAGGCACGAAAGCGUGGGGAGCAAACAGG